UACGAAGGGGGCGAGCGUUGUUCGGAUUUACUGGGCGUAAAGGGCGCGCAGGCGGCGGAUCAAGUCAGACGUGAAAGCCCCGGGCUUAACCUGGGAACUGCGUUUGGGACUGAUUUGCUAGAGAUCGGGAGAGGAGAGUGGAAUUCCCAGUGUAGAGGUGAAAUUCGUAGAUAUUCGCAAGAACACCAGUGGCGAAGGCGGCUCACUGGCCCGGUACUGACGCUGAGGUGCGAAAGCGUGGGGAGCAAACAGG
RNAcentral lists this ribosomal RNA (253 nucleotides) under uncultured bacterium. RNAcentral's name for it is "partial 16S ribosomal RNA". It matches the Rfam family "Bacterial small subunit ribosomal RNA", at positions 524 to 776 of the family's 1533-position model. The record is from RNAcentral.